This 234-nucleotide non-coding RNA is filed under the name Flavobacterium sp. Lineage: Bacteria; Pseudomonadati; Bacteroidota; Flavobacteriia; Flavobacteriales; Flavobacteriaceae. The record is from RNAcentral.
AUCUUUGCACCCGAUUAAGGUUGUGUUUUUGAUUAAAAAACACAUUAAAAGGGAAUCAAGUGACUGAUUUUAAGUAUUUUAAAAUCAAAUUCUUGAGCUGUACCCGCAACUGUAAGCUUAGUUCUUUUUAAAAGAAUGCUUGUUGUUAUCUACAAAACCACUGUCACGGCUGCGUGAUGGGAAGGUAAACAACAAGACGCAAGCCAGGAGACCUGCCUUAUUAACAAAUAUCGA